UACGGAGGAUGCAAGCGUUAUCCGGAAUGAUUGGGCGUAAAGCGUCCGCAGGUGGCUGUGUAAGUCUGCUGUCAAAGAGCAAAGCUCAACUUUGUAAAGGCAGUGGAAACUACACGGCUAGAGUGCGUUCGGGGCAGAGGGAAUUCCUGGUGUAGCGGUGAAAUGCGUAGAGAUCAGGAAGAACACCGGUGGCGAAGGCGCUCUGCUAGGCCGCAACUGACACUGAGGGACGAAAGCUAGGGGAGCAAACGGG
This 253-nucleotide ribosomal RNA is filed under the name uncultured bacterium. RNAcentral's name for it is "partial 16S ribosomal RNA". It matches the Rfam family "Bacterial small subunit ribosomal RNA", at positions 524 to 776 of the family's 1533-position model. The record is from RNAcentral.